AUACCGUGAAACUGCGAAUGGCUCAUUAAAUCAGUUAUCGUUUAUUUGAUAGUACCUUACUACUUGGAUAACCGUGGUAAUUCUAGAGCUAAUACAUGCUGAAAACCCCAACUUCGGGAGGGGUGUAUUUAUUAGAUAAAAAACCAACGCCCUUCGGGGCUUCUUGGUGAUUCAUGAUAACUUCACGGAUCGCAUGGCCUUGCGCCGGCGACGGUUCAUUCAAAUUUCUGCCCUAUCAACUUUCGAUGGUAAGGUAUUGGCUUACCAUGGUUUCAACGGGUAACGGGGAAUUAGGGUUCGAUUCCGGAGAGGGAGCCUGAGAAACGGCUACCACAUCCAAGGAAGGCAGCAGGCGCGCAAAUUACCCAAUCCCGACACGGGGAGGUAGUGACAAUAAAUACUGAUACAGGGCUCUUUUGGGUCUUGUAAUUGGAAUGAGUACAAUUUAAACCUCUUAACGAAGAACAAUUGGANNNNNNNNNNNNNNNNNNNNNNNGCGGUAAUUCCAGCUCCAAUAGCGUAUAUUAAAGUUGUUGCAGUUAAAAAGCUCGUAGUUGAAACUUGGGCCUGGCUGGCAGGUCCGCCUCACCGCGUGUACUUGUCCGGCCGGGCCUUUCCUUCUGGAGAACCUCAUGCCCUUCACUGGGUGUGCUGGGGAACCAGGACUUUUACUUUGAAAAAAUUAGAGUGUUCAAAGCAGGCCUUUGCUCGAAUACGUUAGCAUGGAAUAAUAGAAUAGGACGUGCGGUCCUAUUUUGUUGGUUUCUAGGACCGCCGUAAUGAUUAAUAGGGACAGUCGGGGGCAUCAGUAUUCAAUUGUCAGAGGUGAAAUUCUUGGAUUUAUUGAAGACUAACUACUGCGAAAGCAUUUGCCAAGGAUGUUUUCAUUAAUCAGUGAACGAAAGUUAGGGGAUCGAAGACGAUCAGAUACCGUCGUAGUCUUAACCGUAAACUAUGCCGACUAGGGAUCGGGCGAUGUUCUUUUUCUGACUCGCUCGGCACCUUACGAGAAAUCAAAUUUUUGGGUUCUGGGGGAGUAUGGUC
Molecule: ribosomal RNA, 1044 nt
Filed under: Leptosphaerulina crassiasca
Lineage: Eukaryota; Fungi; Ascomycota; Dothideomycetes; Pleosporales; Didymellaceae
Description: partial 18S ribosomal RNA
Rfam family: Eukaryotic small subunit ribosomal RNA
Source: RNAcentral